AACCAUUUAUUUAAUUGAUGUUCUUAUUAUUGUUUGCUUCCGUCGAUAGUAUUACAUCAGAAAGCUUAUUAUGUGUCCCCUAUGGCGUUGGGUCAGAGCUAUAGAAAUAAAAUAAAUGCCUGUAAUGCGGAUAUGCCAUUCUAUAUAUUCUCUUCAGUGGUGUACCUCCAUUUUGGACUUGCAAAGGAAAUAGAUCCAAGCCUUUCACUUUGCCGAAGCUUCCAUCAAGGUGAGUUUUUGGUUAUUAUUUUAUGGUCCACCAUUUUUGAAUCUAAAACCCGAGUUCUGCGGGAAAAAAAAAAAGUUUUCGGGAUGGUUUCACAUUUUUUUACUACUUCUUCCAUAUUGCUAAGUUAGUCAUAACAUAAUUAUCUUUAACAUUUCAGUUCCUGAUGAUGUAGACGACUUCCAUGCAACAGUGUCUGGACAGUUCUUUCAUGUUUUUUUGGCUCGUUGUAUAAUGGAUAUUACUUCAAUUGGUAAUGAAUAUUAAUACUAUAAACACCUUUUGUGAUAGUUGAUGCCGUGUGUUAUAGAAUAUUACUUCAAUUGUGUUAUAGAAUAUUACUUCAAUUGGUAUUAUCACCAAUGUGUUUACAUUUUUUGAAUUACAUGAACGUCUUG
Molecule: long non-coding RNA, 624 nt
Filed under: Aquilegia coerulea
Lineage: Eukaryota; Viridiplantae; Streptophyta; Magnoliopsida; Ranunculales; Ranunculaceae
Description: long non-coding RNA (ACOE_LNC002052)
Source: RNAcentral